CGAUUAAGCUACCAAGAGCAUACGAUGGAUGCCUAGGCAUCUGGCGCCGAAGAAGGACGUGAUAAGCUGCGAUAAGCUGCGGUUAGUUGCAAAUAAGCGCUUGACCCGCAGAUCUCCGAAUGGGGAAACCCAGUUAUAGGAAACUAUGACUAUGUUUGUGUGAAUAAAUAGCACAUUCAAGGGAACCCGGGGAACUGAAACAUCUUAGUACCCGGAGGAAAAGAAAGAAAAUUAUCUAUUACCUGAGUAGUGGCGAGCGAAAGGGUACCAGCCCAAACCGCAUAUAGCAAUAUGUGCGGGGUAGUGGACUUGUAUACGGGCACUUGGCAUGAGUAGCCGAAGUUGUUUGGAAAACAACGCGAAACAAUGUAAAAGCCAUGUAAGCGAAACUUAUGCCAUAGCUCACAAGAAUCCGGAGUACCACCCAACACGUGGAAUUGGGUGGGAAGCAGGGAGGACCAUCUCCCAAGGCUAAAUACGACCAGAUGACCGAUAGUGAUUAGUACCGUGAGGGAAAGGUGAAAAGCACCCCGGAAGGGGAGUGAAACAGAACCUGAAAUCGUGUGCUUACAAGCAGAGAACGCACUACGCUUACCGCAAGGUGAGCACGUGUUAUCUCGUACUUUUUGUAGAACGGGCCGGCGAGUUACGAUGCGUUGCGAGGUUAAGGAAUCAAGUUCCGGAGCCGUAGCGAAAGCGAGUCUGAAUAGGGCGAAUUUUAGUAGCGUGUCGUAGACCCGAAACCGAGUGACCUACCCAUGAGCAGGUUGAAACAGGAGUAAAAUCCUGCGGAGGACCGAACGCACCCCUGUUGAAAUAGUGGGCGAUGACUUGUGGUUAGCGGAGAAAUUCUAAACGAACUCGGAUAUAGCUGGUUCUCCUCGAAAUAGCUUUAGGGCUAGCCUCGGAAUUUAGAGUAUCGGGGGUAGAGCACUGAAUGGGCUAGGGGCCUUCACGGGUUACCGAACCUUAUCAAACUCCGAAUACCGAAUACUUUUGUCCGGGAGUCAGACAGCGAGAGAUAAGUUCCGUUGUCAAAAGGGAAAAAGCCCAGACCCACAGCUAAGGUCCCCAAAUAAUAGUUAAGUGGUAAAGGAUGUGAUGUUGCACAGACAACCAGGAUGUUGGCUUAGAAGCAGCCACUCAUUUAAAGAGUGCGUAAUAGCUCACUGGUCGAGUGAUGUUGCGCCGAAAACUAUCGGGGCUCAAACUAUUUACCGAAGCUUGGGAAUUAUCUUUGAUAAUUGGUAGGGGAGCAAUGUGUGCGGGCUGAAGCCGUAUCGAAAGAGGCGGUGGACUGCACACAAGAGAGAAUGCCGGCAUGAGUAGCGAAAGAGGAGUGAGAAUCUCCUCCGUCGAAAGCCUAAGGUUUCCUGGGGAAGGUUCGUCCUCCCAGGGUUAGUCGGGACCUAAGUCGAGGCCGAAAGGCGUAGAUGAUGGACAACAGGUUGAUAUUCCUGUACUGUCAUACAGUUCGAUGCAGGGACACAGAAGGAUAGUCAGUCCGCGCGGAUGGUAAAGCGCGGCCAAGCGGUUAGGCUGGGUUGUAGUGAAGUACGCAACUCAUUAGGCUGAGCCGUGAUCGGGGAGUCGAUUGCGACGAAGUUGGCGAAUCCACGCUGGCGAGAAAAGCUGCUAAGGCUAGCUGUAGGGCACCCGUACCGCAAACCGACACAGGUAGGCGGCAAGAGAAUUGCAAGACGAGCGGAAUAACCAUCGUUAAGGAACUCGGCAAAAUGACCCCGUAACUUCGGAAUAAGGGGAGCCUAGCAAUAGGUCGCAGAUAAUAGUCCCAACCAACUGUUUAUCUAAAACACAGGUCUCUGCAAAAGCGCAAGCUGAUGUAUAGGGGCUGACGCCUGCCCGGUGCCGGAAGGUCAAGGGGACGUGUUAGCGCAAGCGAAGCACCGAACUUAAGCCCCGGUGAACGGCGGCCGUAACUAUAACGGUCCUAAGGUAGCGAAAUUCCUUGUCAGGUAAGUUCUGACCCGCAUGAAUGGCGUAAUGAGUUGGGAGCUGUCUCAACGAUGGAUCCGGCGAAAUUGUAGUAUAUGUGAAGAUGCAUAUUACCCGCGACUGGACGGAAAGACCCCGUAGAGCUUUACUGUAGCUUGGUAUUGAGUCUCGGCAAAGGAUGUACAGGAUAGGUGGGAGACAUUGAAGCAAGGGCGUUAGCCUUUGCGGAGUCAACCUUGGGAUACCACCCUUUCUUUGCUGGGGUUCUAACGAGAUGCGCUAAUCGCGGUUUCGGACAUUGCCAGGUGGGCAGUUUGACUGGGGCGGUCGCCUCCUAAAGAGUAACGGAGGCGUUCAAAGGUUCCUUCAGAAUGGUUGGAAACCAUUCGUAGAGUGCAAAGGCAGAAGGGAGCUUAACUGUGAGACUUACAAGUCAGGCAGAUACGAAAGUAGGACUUAGUGACCAGGCGGUAGAGUAUGGAAUUGCCGUCGAUUAUCGGAUAAAAGUUACCUCGGGGAUAACAGGCUGAUCUCCCCCAAGAGUUCACAUCGACGAGGAGGUUUGGCACCUCGAUGUCGGCUCGUCACAUCCUGGGGCUGAAGAAGGUCCCAAGGGUUCGGCUGUUCGCCGAUUAAAGUGGCACGCGAGCUGGGUUCAGAACGUCGUGAGACAGUUCGGUCCCUAUCCUUCGCGGGCGCAGGAUAUUUGAGAGGAUUUGCCCUUAGUACGAAAGGACCGGGGUGAACGCACCUAUUGUGUACCGGUUGUCGCGCCAGCGGCACUGCCGGGUAGCGAAGUGCGGAGCGGAUAAACGCUGAAAGCAUCUAAGCGUGAAACCCACCUCAAGAUUAGAUAUCCCAUCUACACGCAAGUGUAGAGUAAGACUCCAUGUAGACGACGUGGUUGAUAGGUCGCAGCUGUAAGUGCAGCAAUGUAUUCAGGUGAGCGAUACUAAAUAAGUCGAGGGCUUUAUCAAU
Molecule: ribosomal RNA, 2934 nt
Filed under: Clostridiales bacterium
Lineage: Bacteria; Bacillati; Bacillota; Clostridia; Eubacteriales
Description: 23S ribosomal RNA
Rfam family: Bacterial large subunit ribosomal RNA
Source: RNAcentral